This 358-nucleotide unclassified non-coding RNA is filed under the name soil metagenome. RNAcentral describes it as "partial contains 5.8S ribosomal RNA, internal transcribed spacer 2, and large subunit ribosomal RNA". The stretch from base 1 to 120 matches the Rfam family "5.8S ribosomal RNA", at positions 35 to 154 of the family's 154-position model. The record is from RNAcentral.
GAUGAAGAACGCAGCGAAAUGCGAUAAGUAAUGUGAAUUGCAGAAUUCAGUGAAUCAUCGAAUCUUUGAACGCACAUUACGCCCGUCAGUAUUCUGGCGGGCAUGCCUGUUCGAGCGUCAUUACGCCCCUCAAGUCCCCUGUGGACUUGGUGUUGGGGAUCGGCGAGGCUGGUUUUCCAGCACAGCCGUCCCUUAAAUUAAUUGGCGGUCUCGCCGUGGCCCUCCUCUGCGCAGUAGUAAAACACUCGCAACAGGAGCCCGGCGCGGUCCACUGCCGUAAAACCCCCCAACUUUUUAUAGUUGACCUCGAAUCAGGUAGGACUACCCGCUGAACUUAAGCAUAUCAAUAAGCGGAGGA